AACGAACGCUGGCGGCAUGCCUAACACAUGCAAGUCGAACGAGACCUUCGGGCCUAGUGGCGCACGGGUGCGUAACGCGUGGGAACCUGCCCUUAGGUUCGGAAUAACUCCCCGAAAGGGGUGCUAAUACCGGAUAAUGUCUUCGGACCAAAGAUUUAUCGCCUUUGGAUGGGCCCGCGUUGGAUUAGCUAGUUGGUAGGGUAAAAGCCUACCAAGGCGACGAUCCAUAGCUGGUCUGAGAGGAUGAUCAGCCACACUGGGACUGAGACACGGCCCAGACUCCUACGGGAGGCAGCAGUGGAGAAUAUUAGACGAUGGGCGAAGGCGUAGUCCAGCAAUGCCGCGUGAGUGAUGAAGGCCUUAGGAUUGUAAAGCUCUUUUACCCGAGGUGAUAAUGACAGUACCGGGAGAAUAAGCUCCGGCUAACUCCGUG
This 433-nucleotide ribosomal RNA is filed under the name uncultured bacterium. RNAcentral's name for it is "partial 16S ribosomal RNA". It matches the Rfam family "Bacterial small subunit ribosomal RNA", at positions 29 to 507 of the family's 1533-position model. The record is from RNAcentral.